GAUGAACGCUGGCGGCGUGCCUAAUACAUGCAAGUCGAGCGAACGGACGAGAAGCUUGCUUCUCUGAUGUUAGCGGCGGACGGGUGAGUAACACGUGGAUAACCUACCUAUAAGACUGGGAUAACUUCGGGAAACCGGAGCUAAUACCGGAUAAUAUGUUGAACCGCAUGGUUCAAAAGUGAAAGACGGUCUUGCUGUCACUUAUAGAUGGAUCCGCGCUGCAUUAGCUAGUUGGUAAGGUAACGGCUUACCAAGGCAACGAUGCAUAGCCGACCUGAGAGGGUGAUCGGCCACACUGGAACUGAGACACGGUCCAGACUCCUACGGGAGGCAGCAGUAGGGAAUCUUCCGCAAUGGGCGAAAGCCUGACGGAUCAACGCCGCGUGAGUGAUGAAGGUCUUCGGAUCGUAAAACUCUGUUAUUAGGGAAGAACAUAUGUGUAAGUAACUGUGCACAUCUUGACGAUACCUAAUCAGAAAGCCACGGCUAACUACGUG
RNAcentral lists this ribosomal RNA (497 nucleotides) under uncultured bacterium. RNAcentral's name for it is "partial 16S ribosomal RNA". It matches the Rfam family "Bacterial small subunit ribosomal RNA", at positions 28 to 507 of the family's 1533-position model. The record is from RNAcentral.